RNAcentral lists this ribosomal RNA (697 nucleotides) under Pseudomonadota bacterium. RNAcentral describes it as "bacterial SSU rRNA". It matches the Rfam family "Bacterial small subunit ribosomal RNA", at positions 28 to 723 of the family's 1533-position model. The record is from RNAcentral. Lineage: Bacteria; Pseudomonadati; Pseudomonadota.
AUUGAACGCUGGCGGAAUGCUUUACACAUGCAAGUCGAACGGUAGAGGGGGCAACCCCUUGAGAGUGGCGAACGGGUGAGUAAUAUAUCGGAACGUGCCCAGUCGUGGGGGAUAACGUAGUGAAAAUUACGCUAAUACCGCAUACGAUCUAAGGAUGAAAGCGGGGGAUCGCAAGACCUCGCGCGACUGGAGCGGCCGAUAUCAGAUUAGGUAGUUGGUAGGGUAAAGGCCUACCAAGCCAACGAUCUGUAGCUGGUCUGAGAGGACGACCAGCCACACUGGAACUGAGACACGGUCCAGACUCCUACGGGAGGCAGCAGUGGGGAAUUUUGGACAAUGGGCGAAAGCCUGAUCCAGCCAUUCCGCGUGCAGGAUGAAGGCCCUCGGGUUGUAAACUGCUUUUGUACAGAACGAAAAGGUUUCUAUUAAUACUAGGAGCUCAUGACGGUACUGUAAGAAUAAGCACCGGCUAACUACGUGCCAGCAGCCGCGGUAAUACGUAGGGUGCAAGCGUUAAUCGGAAUUACUGGGCGUAAAGCGUGCGCAGGCGGUUAUAUAAGUCAGAUGUGAAAUCCCCGGGCUCAACCUGGGAACUGCAUUUGAGACUGUAUAGCUAGAGUACGGUAGAGGGGGAUGGAAUUCCGCGUGUAGCAGUGAAAUGCGUAGAUAUGCGGAGGAACACCGAUGGCGGAAGGCA